GACGAACGCUGGCGGCGUGCUUAACACACGCGAGUCGAACGGAAAGGCCCUGCUUUUGUGGGGUGCUCGAGUGGCGAACGGGAGAGUAACACGUGAGUAACCUGCCCUUGACUUUGGGAUAACUUCAGGAAACUGGGGCUAAUACCGGAUAGGAGCUCCUGCUGCAUGGUGGGGGUUGGAAAGUUUCGGCGGUUGGGGAUGGACUCGCGGCUUAUCAGCUUGUUGGUGGGGUAGUGGCUUACCAAGGCUUUGACGGGUAGCCGGCCUGAGAGGGUGACCGGCCACAUUGGGACUGAGAUACGGCCCAGACUCCUACGGGAGGCAGCAGUGGGGAAUAUUGCACAAUGGGCGGAAGCCUGAUGCGGCAACGCCGCGUGCGGGAUGACGGCCUUCGGGUUGUAAACCGCUUUCGCCUGUGACGAAGCGUGAGUGACGGUAAUGGGUAAAGAAGCACCGGCUAACUACGUG
This 468-nucleotide ribosomal RNA is filed under the name uncultured bacterium. RNAcentral's name for it is "partial 16S ribosomal RNA". It matches the Rfam family "Bacterial small subunit ribosomal RNA", at positions 28 to 507 of the family's 1533-position model. The record is from RNAcentral.